AUUACCUUAACUUUUAUAUAGCUUGGUGUUCCUUCUCAUGUAUUGAAAGCAUCAGCGUUCCAAUACGCCAACGAAUGCAACGAGGUCAAUAAAGAGUUCAUGUUAUGUCGUGAGGAAGAGAUGGAUCCACGCAAGUGUUUGAAAUACAACAUUAAGGUGUCGGACUGCGCUGAAAACUUCUUCAGAAAAAUGACAACAGCAUGUGCUGAUGAAAUUGUGGCGUUUGGUAAAUGUUUGGAAAGGGAUCACAAAAGAUCGUUUGUCUAUUGCCGCGAUGAGCAAGUAAAAUUUGA
Ciona intestinalis (vase tunicate) is the source of this 293-nucleotide non-coding RNA. Lineage: Eukaryota; Metazoa; Chordata; Ascidiacea; Phlebobranchia; Cionidae. The record is from RefSeq and is a predicted model, not a curated record.